UACCAGAAGACUUCUACCUUUUUCGAACGCUUAAAUUAAACUAAAGUGUACAAAAAUAUUUUUAAACAUCAAAAAAUACACAUUAGUCAAUAAACAAUUCACAAAAUUUACAAAAAAUCUCGAAAAAGGCAAAUAGUACAAAAUUUCUAAGUGCUAAAUUCAAACGAAACACAACAAAUCAAAUUACACCGUAAAUACGGUAAUUUACGGUACCGGGUUCCAGUAGCGCUGCUUACGUCACAAAGCCAAAAACUUGCAACACGUAAAAAUCCACCGCCGCUGAUAACGCUUGUUUGUCAACACGAGAGGAGGAAGACAUCUACUUUUCUUCACAAAAAGGUAACUCUUGUGAUGACACAUGUAGGCAAAAUAUACGUAAAGUUAAAAUCUGUUAAAAAAACGUAAUAUCGGCUGGCGCCACACAGCCUCACAGCCAUAAAAAUAUGACGCGUGUCGAACGUUGGUAAACCACUGACCACCCUUCCGAGUUGCUAAUGUGCAACAAACGGUUCGUAAUUGCAGUAUUGCACAUUACGAACCGUAAGCAAUUUAAGUCAAAAUGUCUAAGCAAUUUAAGUCAAAAUGUCUUUUAGCCAACCCUUUACAUGAUGAUUUUUCCCUACAAAUACUCUGGUGAGUCCAGGGUUUGGGAUGAUUCGGUUUUCUAUCUUGUAGACGAAAGUCUUAAGUUUAGCUUCGGUUUAAGCUUAUUGUUUCUGUAUAUACUUGUGUUAAAUUCGUGAAAUAAAGUGAAAGUAUUAAUUAUUCAGUUUGUCGACUAUUUAAUUGAAAAGGUCCAUAAGACCCAUUACAAUUUGGCGCCCAACGAAAAAGAGCUUUGAAAGCUUUCGCGAAUCAAUUGAAUUUUCGUGAUUUUAAAUUAAAAAUCGUUUUUCUCAAAACGUAAUUGAAUACUUGAUUUUUUUUGGCAAAUUAUUUGAAUUUUCGUGAUUUUUAGUAAAGUUUCAAUUGAAUUUUUCUUCUCAUAUCUACCGAAUUCGAAUUCGUGAAUUUUUUUUUCCUGUCAUAAACGUAAUUGAAUACUGGAAUUUUUUUUUAAAUCAAAGUUGUGAAUUUUUUAUCGGAGAUUUUUUUGGUGAAUCUCAACGAAUUUUUACGAAUUUUAACGAAUUUUUGUGAAGUUUCUUGUGUCCGAAUCUGUAAAAUCAAAAAACGUGAAUUUUUUUAAUCAAAUUUCAACGAAUUUUCCCGAAUUUCAACGAAUUUUCCUGAAGUUUUUCGUGUCCGAAUCUGUGAAGAAGUUCUUCUUGAAGGUCAACAGACGAUUACUUCCUGGAAAGUGGUUUUCAAGUCAAUUUUUCAAUUCAAUUUUCAAGAUGAUUCCUUACAAUGAACCUGAACCGUUAAGUCAAGCCACCAAAGCUCAAAUAAUGAGACUGGUCAAUCAUUACGUACAUAGAGAAAAACAGACCAUUAUUUUCUACGAUGACCAUGAUACAUGGGAUCUUGCGCACCCAGACGUUGCAGGGUACCAUGUACCCUUCUUUAAUGUGACCUGGGAUGAAAUUGACGAUGUUCAAAGGACAAUGAACAAACUUUUCUAUUAUUUAGGCAUUGAAGCCUAUGUAUUUUUCAUAACUGUGCCAAAUAAAAUUUUCGUUUUCGAUGUAAUAAUUUCAAACGAACGAAUUCUGCCCGAAUUAUUAUUGAAACCUGGGCAAUGAAACCAAAAAUGGAAAAAUGAAAAAUUCUACUUUUUUUGCUAUGUUAUUUUUUCAAUAUUUUUAUGCUAGUUUUUUAUUAUAUCAAGCAUGUACAUAGGUAGCUUUUAAUUAUAAGUAGGGCAACCCAAAAUAUGCUCUCAUUCAAGGUAAAGUACCUAUUGAAUAGGAAUUAUAUUCGAUUUUUCUUUGGAAUGAAACAUUUCCAAAAUAUUCAUAUACCCUACUUGAAAAUUUGAAUACAAAUGGGUAUCGUUUUCACUCGUUUUGAUGAGCACAAUUCAUAAUCAUUAAUUUUAAAUUCGUCAUUCCAUCAAUCAGCAAAUCAUAAUCAUCAAAAAACGACUGUGAACAUGACAUUUGCGAUCUUCCGAUCCUAAAACUGCUCAAAAUAUUCAAUAAAUUGUGAAAUAUGACGAUUUUCAGCAGAAAAUAUUCAGAAAUCUUUAAAUUGAGCUCAUUACAAAAAAAAAAAAACAUUCAAAAAAUAUAUUGGGUUGUCCCCAUGAAUAACAAACAGUAGUUUUUCUUAUUGUAUAAUUUAUUCUAUAAAAAUACGUAUAAAAAACAAAAAAAAAACAAUUAGUUUAAAUACAUACAUAUCUAAUAACUGUACAAAAAUUAAUAUUUUACCUUUUUUUUUACAGGUUAAUUAAAAUUACUUUUCACAAUUUUUUUUUCUCACUCUUUCUUCGGACUUGCUUGAUAUCAACUCAAACGUUUGAACGGUGCCUCUGAAAAUUACAAAAACAAAUACCUCAAUAAAAAUAAAACAAAACAAAAAAAUUGUGAUUGAAAAAAUAAAUAAAUCAAAUAAACAAAUAAAAGAACCUUUUUUGGAAAAAACAAAUGACAAAAAAAAAACCAUAAAAACUUCGAAAACAAAAUUCUAAAUUUAAAAAAAAAAAAAAAAAAAAAAAGGAAAAUAAA
Long non-coding RNA from Planococcus citri (citrus mealybug), 2612 nucleotides. RefSeq lists it as uncharacterized. The transcript has 2 exons. Lineage: Eukaryota; Metazoa; Arthropoda; Insecta; Hemiptera; Pseudococcidae. The record is from RefSeq and is a predicted model, not a curated record.